RNAcentral lists this ribosomal RNA (497 nucleotides) under uncultured bacterium. Its description in RNAcentral is "partial 16S ribosomal RNA". It matches the Rfam family "Bacterial small subunit ribosomal RNA", at positions 28 to 507 of the family's 1533-position model. The record is from RNAcentral.
GACGAACGCUGGCGGCGUGCCUAAUACAUGCAAGUUGAGCGCUGAAGGUUGGUACUUGUACCAACUGGAUGAGCAGCGAACGGGUGAGUAACGCGUGGGUAAUCUGCCUUUGAGCGGGGGACAACAUUUGGAAACGAAUGCUAAUACCGCAUAAAAACUUUAAACACAAGUUUUAAGUUUGAAAGAUGCAAUUGCAUCACUCAAAGAUGAUCCCGCGUUGUAUUAGCUAGUUGGUGAGGUAAAGGCUCACCAAGGCGAUGAUACAUAGCCGACCUGAGAGGGUGAUCGGCCACAAUGGGACUGAGAAACGGCCCAAACUCCUACGGGAGGCAGCAGUAGGGAAUCUUCGGCAAUGGACGAAAGUCUGACCGAGCAACGCCGCGUGAGUGAAGAAGGUUUUCGGAUCGUAAAACUCUGUUGGUAGAGAAGAACGUUGGUGAGAGUGGAAAGCUCAUCAAGUGACGGUAACUACCCAGAAAGGGACGGCUAACUACGUG